Molecule: ribosomal RNA, 473 nt
Filed under: uncultured bacterium
Lineage: Bacteria
Description: partial 16S ribosomal RNA
Rfam family: Bacterial small subunit ribosomal RNA
Source: RNAcentral
AACGAACGCUGGCGGCAUGCCUAACACAUGCAAGUCGAACGAGACCUUCGGGUCUAGUGGCGCACGGGUGCGUAACGCGUGGGAACCUGCCCUUAGGUUCGGAAUAACUCCCCGAAAGGGGUGCUAAUACCGGAUAAUGUCUUCGGACCAAAGAUUUAUCGCCUUUGGAUGGGCCCGCGUUGGAUUAGCUAGUUGGUAGGGUAAAAGCCUACCAAGGCGACGAUCCAUAGCUGGUCUGAGAGGAUGAUCAGCCACACUGGGACUGAGACACGGCCCAGACUCCGACAGUGGGCAGCAGUGGGUAAUCGUAGCCAAGUGGCGAACCGCUUCACCAGAAGUGUUGGUUGGGGGACGAGGCCUGUAGGGUUGAAACUCUUUUGGCGUGGUGAUCAUAAUUCCAUGACCGGGAGAAUAUGCUGCGGUCACCGCACUGCCAUCAGCCGCGUUAAUAGACGAACACCACCCCUCUGACC